GGCCCCGUAGCUCAGAGGAUAGAGCGACCGCCUCCUAAGCGGUAGGUCGAUGGUUCGACUCCAUCCGGGGCCGCCA
This 76-nucleotide transfer RNA is filed under the name Silicimonas algicola. RNAcentral describes it as "tRNA-Arg". It matches the Rfam family "tRNA". Rfam says of the family: Transfer RNA (tRNA) molecules are approximately 80 nucleotides in length. Lineage: Bacteria; Pseudomonadati; Pseudomonadota; Alphaproteobacteria; Rhodobacterales; Paracoccaceae. The record is from RNAcentral.